GGGGGGCGGCGGCAUUAGACGGGAUCAAUCGCCGGAGGAGGCAUAUCAUCGGGGGAGGGUGAACGCCGGGGAAGGCGGCGGAUUUCGCGAGCCGGCCGGUCAAGGAGGAGGAUCCCUACCAAAUGCACGAAGAGGCCUCGGAUCCGUGGGUUUACUCACGAAUUUCUCCACCAAUUUCUCGCCGGAAGGGCCGCCGGAGCAUCCCGCCGGACCGAGGGAAAGAGUCAACGGAGCCAGGAGAUUUUGAUCAGGGGACUCAGCACCCCAGCGAGUAGGUUGUGACUCGGAUCCGUGAUUGAGUCAGUCUACAAUUUCAGUAAGAAUCUCUACAUCUGAGCACUUCUAUACAUAUAUUUGAUUUAUCGUUGGAUUUAUUUCAUAAUUAUGUUGUUAUUGUUUUAUGAGUUGAUGCGAUAUCUAUGAGGCGAAUUUAUAUCAACAUAUUUUCAUAAUUAUGUUGUUAUUGUUUUAUGAGCUGAUACAAAAUCUUUGAGGCGUGCAUUGUGUUUAUAAUGAAAAUAUUGAGAUAAAUUCAUUUGGAAAGAAAUAACCUAUUUUUGAGAAUUUAUGAAAAUAUGUGAUGUGAUGAAAUUGUGAUUAAACAUGUAAAACUAGACAUGUAAUGUGGGUUGGACUAACCUUGUCAUGAGAUAGCCUCUACGAGCUUAUGCGUCGGAUAGCUGCCACGAGCUGAUGCGUGGGAUAGCCUCCACGGGCUUACGCGUGGGAUAGCCUCUACGACAUUAUGCGUGGGAUAGCCUCCACGGGCUUACGCGUGGGAUAGCCUCUACGAGCUUAUGCGUAGGAUAGCCUCCACGGGCUUACGCGUGGGAUAGCUGCCACGAGCUUAUGCGUGGGAUUUGUGCAGUCUUGGACUGGGUCAUGAACUUGGUUAGCCCAACGCCAGAAGUAAAAAGUCUGAAGACUUGGGAAUCAUGGUAUUACGUGAAUGAAUCAC
Molecule: non-coding RNA, 958 nt
Organism: Phoenix dactylifera (date palm)
Lineage: Eukaryota; Viridiplantae; Streptophyta; Magnoliopsida; Arecales; Arecaceae
Source: RefSeq, a predicted model, not a curated record